This 43-nucleotide non-coding RNA is filed under the name Trypanosoma brucei brucei. The record is from RNAcentral. Lineage: Eukaryota; Euglenozoa; Kinetoplastea; Trypanosomatida; Trypanosomatidae.
UAAACCACAAUAUCAGAAAUAAGUGUAGAAAUAGUGAUAAUAU